Molecule: long non-coding RNA, 304 nt
Filed under: Homo sapiens (human)
Lineage: Eukaryota; Metazoa; Chordata; Mammalia; Primates; Hominidae
Description: non-protein coding lnc-TMEM30B-8:1
Source: RNAcentral
GAGAUUGCUUUCACCCAGAGUGCUGAGAUCCACCCUUCUUUGGAAGAGGUUUACGUCUAAAGUGUUGUGUUUGCUCACGAGCGGUUUUAGGUCUUCAUUUUCCGCUAGGUUAUGUAACUUGACUUUACCCUUACUAGCACUCUCCUUUAAACUGACCCUAGUGUGACAUAAGUGAACUUUUGAGCUAGGAAAGAACAGUCCCAACCCCAACCCCACUCCCACUUGGGAAGAGAAGCUAAAGAAGGCUUGCUAGGAAACAAACUGCACUCAUUCUCCUUCUGGUCAUCGAGAACCCUAAUACUCU